UACGUAGGGGGCAAGCGUUGUCCGGAUUUAUUGGGCGUAAAGGGUGUGUAGGCGGACUUUUAAGUCAGCGGUGAAAUCUCCGGGCUCAACCCGGAAACUGCCAUUGAUACUAUAGGUCUUGAAUGUUGUUGAGGUGGGCGGAACGGGUCAUGUAGCGGUGAAAUGCAUAGAUAUGACCCGGAACACCGAUUGCGAAGGCAGCCCACUAAGCAACGAUUGACGCUGAGGCACGAAAGCGUGGGGAUCAAACAGG
Molecule: ribosomal RNA, 253 nt
Filed under: uncultured bacterium
Lineage: Bacteria
Description: partial 16S ribosomal RNA
Rfam family: Bacterial small subunit ribosomal RNA
Source: RNAcentral